CGGUCACUUGAGCGAAGGGCGGAAGGCGGCGGGUUUAUCCUCCGCGCGGGCAGCCUGGCUUUCUCCGGCGCCGCGGAUGCCGCCCGCGAGCGUCACACCCCUCGAGCUGUACAAAAGCUUAUCGUGUGUAGAGAGGCGAUCGUGCGGUGUUUUCCUUCUACCCCCGGAUGAACUAAUCCGGCAUAAUUGUUAUAGUGCCACCCCCGUGGCUAUGACGGCAAAGUUUAGUAACCUUUCCGAGAUAAUCCGCGGGAAGCUGUUAGCUUUGUACGUAUUCAGUAUGACUAUUCUGGAGUUUGUUUGUUUUUUGUGUUUUUUUUAAAACUUCAUGAAAGUUUUGGCUUAACAAAAACAAAAACCCUGUUAACUCCGAUCUAAAACUGGACUCUGCAACCCUGAACGCAUGUUAGAUUUUAGAAGCCUUACAAGACUUUUCUUACAAAGCAUGGCUAAAGAGUCGACAAGGAAUCCCAAAUACUUGCAACACUGCCUUCACAUUCACAUUCUGGUAUUCUUAACUUAUCUUUUGGGUUUCCUCCUAGUGUAGUUUAUCCCUCUAAUGAAAUUUAUAUGACACACUAUUCUAUUUUGUUAAUUUUAAAGAACCAGGUUUAUGUUGCUGUAAAUAAUUGUUUUUGACAAUUUGAUUUUGCAGUUGCUGAAAAGAUAACCCACAAGAUUCGCCUGAGGAAAGGUGAAGAACCAGCAGAACAAUCCCAUGCAGUUGGGUGGGAUCUUAUAUUUCAAACAACGUGCCUUCCCUGCACCUAAAAAAGAAAUACGGUCCUCCUAAAUUAUGUGUUUAAUAAACCUAGGUAGAAUUAUACUUAUCAUUAUUGUAUGAGCCUCUGUCUAAUUACUUUCCAUAUUCUUGGGUUGAAAAAGAAAAAUGAAAAAAGUUUUAAAA
Non-coding RNA from Podarcis lilfordi (Lilford's wall lizard), 907 nucleotides. Lineage: Eukaryota; Metazoa; Chordata; Lepidosauria; Squamata; Lacertidae. The record is from the annotation of a GenBank genome assembly.